This 1450-nucleotide ribosomal RNA is filed under the name Salmonella enterica. RNAcentral's name for it is "partial 23S ribosomal RNA". It matches the Rfam family "Bacterial large subunit ribosomal RNA", at positions 1216 to 2648 of the family's 2925-position model. The record is from RNAcentral. Lineage: Bacteria; Pseudomonadati; Pseudomonadota; Gammaproteobacteria; Enterobacterales; Enterobacteriaceae.
UACGUUCGUUGGGUAGGGGAGCGUUCUGUAAGCCUGUGAAGGUGUGUCGUGAGGCAUGCUGGAGGUAUCAGAAGUGCGAAUGCUGACAUAAGUAACGAUAAAGCGGGUGAAAAGCCCGCUCGCCGGAAGACCAAGGGUUCCUGUCCAACGUUAAUCGGGGCAGGGUGAGUCGACCCCUAAGGCGAGGCCGAAAGGCGUAGUCGAUGGGAAACGGGUUAAUAUUCCCGUACUUGGUGUUACUGCGAAGGGGGGACGGAGAAGGCUAUGUUGGCCGGGCGACGGUUGUCCCGGUUUAAGCGUGUAGGUGUGUGUUCCAGGUAAAUCCGGUUCACUUUAACACUGAGGCGUGACGACGAGGCACUACGGUGCUGAAGCAACAAAUGCCCUGCUUCCAGGAAAAGCCUCUAAGCAUCAGGUAACACGAAAUCGUACCCCAAACCGACACAGGUGGUCAGGUAGAGAAUACCAAGGCGCUUGAGAGAACUCGGGUGAAGGAACUAGGCAAAAUGGUGCCGUAACUUCGGGAGAAGGCACGCUGACACGUAGGUGAAGUGAUUUACUCAUGGAGCUGAAGUCAGUCGAAGAUACCAGCUGGCUGCAACUGUUUAUUAAAAACACAGCACUGUGCAAACACGAAAGUGGACGUAUACGGUGUGACGCCUGCCCGGUGCCGGAAGGUUAAUUGAUGGGGUCAGCGUAAGCGAAGCUCCUGAUCGAAGCCCCGGUAAACGGCGGCCGUAACUAUAACGGUCCUAAGGUAGCGAAAUUCCUUGUCGGGUAAGUUCCGACCUGCACGAAUGGCGUAAUGAUGGCCAGGCUGUCUCCACCCGAGACUCAGUGAAAUUGAACUCGCUGUGAAGAUGCAGUGUACCCGCGGCAAGACGGAAAGACCCCGUGAACCUUUACUAUAGCUUGACACUGAACAUUGAGCCUUGAUGUGUAGGAUAGGUGGGAGGCUUUGAAGUGUGGACGCCAGUCUGCAUGGAGCCGACCUUGAAAUACCACCCUUUAAUGUUUGAUGUUCUAACGUGGACCCGUAAUCCGGGUUGCGGACAGUGUCUGGUGGGUAGUUUGACUGGGGCGGUCUCCUCCUAAAGAGUAACGGAGGAGCACGAAGGUUGGCUAAUCCUGGUCGGACAUCAGGAGGUUAGUGCAAUGGCAUAAGCCAGCUUGACUGCGAGCGUGACGGCGCGAGCAGGUGCGAAAGCAGGUCAUAGUGAUCCGGUGGUUCUGAAUGGAAGGGCCAUCGCUCAACGGAUAAAAGGUACUCCGGGGAUAACAGGCUGAUACCGCCCAAGAGUUCAUAUCGACGGCGGUGUUUGGCACCUCGAUGUCGGCUCAUCACAUCCUGGGGCUGAAGUAGGUCCCAAGGGUAUGGCUGUUCGCCAUUUAAAGUGGUACGCGAGCUGGGUUUAGAACGUCGUGAGACAGUUCGGUCCCUAUCUGCCGU